GUUCUGUGCACUUUGUUAAUCCCCUUUCUUUGAGUAUCAAAUUCUACUGAUGUAUUUAGUGUCUCUCUAAUAUUUGCUAAUUUAUUUUAUUCUUCAGUUUCUAUUAGUAUGCUCGAUUUACUUUACAAAUUGAUAGAUCUGGAAGAAUUAAAUAUUACAUAAUUAAAUUACUAAAACAGUUAAAUUUGCAUUGCAUAUGUCAAAACAAGAGGUUUAGAAGACAAAAGGACUCAGUUAUAUUUUCAGGAAUAUUUCCAUGAUUUAGUAAGAUAUUGAAAAUAACCAUGGUAUUAAAUAUGAGGAGAUACAAACGAGAUUCGAAACAAACAUUUAUUGUAAAAUGGAUAAUUUGUAGUAGACUUAAUUAUGUUGUUUUCAAGAGCUGUCUGUGGACUAUGAGUGAGGACCUUUUCAGCACCUUAGUCAAGGAGUGGGAAAGUUUGGUAUUUGAAACUUAUGGUGGCUCUCCUGCUAUUAAGAUGCCCCAAAUACAUGUGAACACCCCUCAGCUCUGCUCAAAAAGUUCCCUCAGAGCUCUGGACAUGGAGUGACCCACUGCAGCCAUACUCCCUCAGAAAUGGUGGUAAUCUGCCAACAUGCCAAUCAACCUGUUGACUGCAAGACAUCACCAAGCAAGACUCUGUCCUGAAACCUUAUCCCUGCCUUUGAUAUACCUCUUAAAUAAAUCACCAGAGCCAUUUUUUUUUUUUUUUUUUUAAUUUUU
This 724-nucleotide long non-coding RNA is filed under the name Marmota monax (woodchuck). Lineage: Eukaryota; Metazoa; Chordata; Mammalia; Rodentia; Sciuridae. The record is from RNAcentral.